AUUGAACGCUGGCGGAAUGCUUUACACAUGCAAGUCGAACGGCAGCACGGGGGCAGCCCUGGUGGCGAGUGGCGAACGGGUGAGUAAUACAUCGGAACGUGCCCGGUCGUGGGGGAUAACGUAGCGAAAGUUACGCUAAUACCGCAUACGAUCUGAGGAUGAAAGCGGGGGACCUUCGGGCCUCGCGCGAUCGGAGCGGCCGAUGUCAGAUUAGGUAGUUGGUGGGGUAAAGGCCUACCAAGCCGACGAUCUGUAGCUGGUCUGAGAGGACGACCAGCCACACUGGGACUGAGACACGGCCCAGACUCCUACGGGAGGCAGCAGUGGGGAAUUUUGGACAAUGGGCGCAAGCCUGAUCCAGCCAUUCCGCGUGCAGGACGAAGGCCUUCGGGUUGUAAACUGCUUUUGUACGGAACGAAAAGGCUCUGGCUAAUACCUGCGGCUCAUCACGGUACCGUAAGAAUAAGCACCGGCUAACUACGUG
Molecule: ribosomal RNA, 484 nt
Filed under: uncultured bacterium
Lineage: Bacteria
Description: partial 16S ribosomal RNA
Rfam family: Bacterial small subunit ribosomal RNA
Source: RNAcentral